GACCUACGGGAGGCAGCAGUGGGGAAUAUUGCACAAUGGGGGAAACCCUGAUGCAGCGACGCCGCGUGAAGGACGAAGUAUUUCGGUACGUAAACUUCUAUCAGCAGGGAAGAAGAUGACGGUACCUGACCAAGAAGCCCCGGCUAACUACGUGCCAGCAGCCGCGGUAAUACGUAGGGGGCAAGCGUUAUCCGGAUUUACUGGGUGUAAAGGGAGCGUAGACGGUGAUGCAAGUCAGAAGUGAAAGCCCGCGGCUCAACUGCGGGACUGCUUUUGAAACUGUAUGACUGGAGUGCAGGAGAGGG
Molecule: ribosomal RNA, 305 nt
Filed under: uncultured bacterium
Lineage: Bacteria
Description: bacterial SSU rRNA
Rfam family: Bacterial small subunit ribosomal RNA
Source: RNAcentral